UUUAACUAUUGCGAAGUAGAGUAACAGUAAUUUAGCUAACACCAAAAGGGAAACAGUAAAUCAGGAGGUACCAACUCCCGAUAACAAAACCUGUGGCUGAUUUGCUGGACUCGAUGUAGUUGUACGCUCACGCAACACUUCCUACCGCCCUUUGCUGACACUCGCCCAGGUUGCUCUCCUUUGCCAGUGCUCGUGCGCCCAACUUGUUUCCAAUACUUCGAGAAUUCCUGAAAACACAGAAAAUACCACGACCCAAAAACCAAAAGGAGCUAUCACCGCUACCACUGGUAUAACCCCAACAAUAUAAAAUGUACAAAGAAAGGAGAAGAAGAAAACGAGAAUAUAAGGGGGUGGUGGCAGAUUUGGGACGCAAAAGGGGUGGGGCAAGAAGACCCAAAAAUCAAAUAAGGGCCAGAAACUUCUGAGAUAAAGCUCAACUGCGACAUACCCGAAUUCAGCAACAACUAUAAAAUCCCUAAAAUAUGUAUGCGCUGGUUUGGUCUUUUGGAAGGGAUAUCUCAAAGAAUUUCUACUGUUAGAAAUAAAAGAUGCAGAAAACCUAUCCAAUUUUGUGAAAAGCUCAGAAUCUUGAGUAGCAAAUAGUCAAACUAAGGACUCAAAUAGAAAACAGUAGCUAAAGCAGUUUAUACUCUAUAGCAAAUCGGAAAGAGAGAUAAACAACGACAGAAGAAAGAGAAAAGUUUAAGUCUACUUACUGACCGGAAAACGGAAGAGACGACGAUCGCCGGAGAACUCCACCAGAGAUGGCGAGUUCUUAAUUUAGUUACUAACCCGGAAAGUUGCAGUAGACUACAAAGUUAAUGGCAAUUGUUA
Molecule: long non-coding RNA, 834 nt
Filed under: Nicotiana tabacum (common tobacco)
Lineage: Eukaryota; Viridiplantae; Streptophyta; Magnoliopsida; Solanales; Solanaceae
Description: long non-coding RNA (NTAB_LNC015950)
Source: RNAcentral